This is a microRNA precursor of Chlorocebus sabaeus (green monkey), 69 nucleotides long. The record is from Ensembl. NCBI's taxonomy places the organism in Eukaryota, Metazoa, Chordata, Mammalia, Primates, Cercopithecidae.
GACGAGGGGAGGUGUGCAGGGCUGGGGUCACUGACUCUGCUUCCCCUGCCCCACAUGGUGUCCCCACAG